GAUGAACGCUGGCGGCGUGCCUAAUACAUGCAAGUCGAGCGAACAGGCGAGGAGCUUGCUCCUCUGACGUUAGCGGCGGACGGGUGAGUAACACGUGGAUAACCUACCUAUAAGACUGGGAUAACUUCGGGAAACCGGAGCUAAUACCGGAUAAUAUAUUGAACCGCAUGGUUCAAUAGUGAAGGACGGUUUUGCUGUCACUUAUAGAUGGAUCCGCGCCGCAUUAGCUAGUUGGUAAGGUAACGGCUUACCAAGGCAACGAUGCGUAGCCGACCUGAGAGGGUGAUCGGCCACACUGGAACUGAGACACGGUCCAGACUCCUACGGGAGGCAGCAGUAGGGAAUCUUCCGCAAUGGGCGAAAGCCUGACGGAGCAACGCCGCGUGAGUGAUGAAGGUCUUCGGAUCGUAAAACUCUGUUAUUAGGGAAGAACAAAUGUGUAAGUAACUAUGCACGUCUUGACGGUACCUAAUCAGAAAGCCACGGCUAACUACGUG
RNAcentral lists this ribosomal RNA (497 nucleotides) under uncultured bacterium. RNAcentral describes it as "partial 16S ribosomal RNA". It matches the Rfam family "Bacterial small subunit ribosomal RNA", at positions 28 to 507 of the family's 1533-position model. The record is from RNAcentral.